CGGCAGCCAGCGAGAAUUUGUUGGGCGCCUUCUUGCAGUCGCUACGGUAAUCCUUACAGUUGCUCCGAGUGUCAGCUGAUCCCCCUUUACUGGCGAGUGAGGAGGAAAAUCAGCUGAAGGAAAACACUGCUGGCUAGUUAAAAUUAUGGCUGCGGAGAUUCAUUCCAGGCCUCAGACGGCCAGACCGGUUCUUCUGAACAAGAUCGAGGGACACUCAGACACUGUCAAUGCAGCGGUCUUGAUACCAAAGGAAGAUGGAGUGAUCACGGUCAGCGAGGACAGAACGAUCCGGGUAUGGCUGAAGAGAGACAGCGGUCAGUACUGGCCAAGCAUUUACCACACAGUCUCCUCUCCAUGCUCUUGCAUGUCAUACCACCAUGACAGUAGACGCAUCUUCAUAGGCCAGGACAACGGAGCCGUGGUGGAGUUUCUCAUCUCUGAAGAUUUCAACAAGAUGAACCACGUCAAAACAUAUCCAGCCCACCAGAACCGCGUGUCAGAUAUGGUGUUCUCCCUGGAGAGUGAGUGGGUGGUGAGUACCGGCCAUGACAAGAGUGUGAGCUGGAUGUGCACCCAGAGUGGGAGCAUGCUGGGGAGACACUACUUCACCGCCUGGGCCUCCUGCCUACAAUACGAUCAUGAAACGCAGCAUGCCUUCGUCGGUGAUUACUCAGGGCAGAUCACGCUGCUGAAACUGGAGAAGCAGACGUAUUCUACAAUCACUACACUGAAGGGUCAUGAAGGAAGUAUAGGAGCUCUGUGGUGGGACCCUGUCCAGAGGCUGCUCUUCUCAGGGGCCUCUGACCACAGCGUCAUCAUGUGGGACAUUGGGGGCCGCAAAGGACGGACGCUGUUGUUGCAGGGACACCACGAACGUGUUCAGGCCCUGCGCUACCUCCAGUUGACGAGGCAGCUGGUGUCGUGCUCAGCCGACGGAGGCAUCGCCGUGUGGAACAUGGACACGCAGAGAGAAGAGGCGCCUCAGUGGUUGGACAGCGACUCGUGUCAGAAGUGUGAACAACCUUUCUUCUGGAACAUCAAGCAGAUGUGGGACACUAAAACUCUGGGGCUCAGACAGCACCACUGCAGGAAGUGUGGCAAAGCUGUGUGUGGAAAAUGCAGUUCUAAACGCUCCACAUUUCCAAUCAUGGGCUUUGAGUUCCCUGUGCGGGUGUGUGAUGACUGCUUUGACACCAUCAAAGAAGAAGAUCGAACACCCUUGGCCACGUUCCACGAGGGGAAACACAACAUCGCCCACAUGGACAUGGACCCAUCCAGAGGCCUGAUGGUCACUUGUGGAAGCGACCGCAUUGUCAAGAUCUGGGACAUGACGCAGGUGGUUGGCUGUAGCUUAGCAACAGGCUUCUCUCCGCGCUGACUGGCCCAGCCCAUUGCGUGCUCCCCUGUGCUGCGCCCACUCUUCCAAUUUCAUGGAAACCCCUCUGUACAUUACAUCUUCCUGUCACGCUUGGGAUCUUCAGCUACAGCCAGGCCUGUUCUGGAUCCUAUUCUGAGCUCUCCUCCUUCCCCCACAAAUCUGUGUAUCAAGGAUGUCUAAAAACGCUCUCACCACUGCACUGAACUGAACAACUCGCUGGUCUUUGUCUUUUGAAUUAAACAAAACAUUUUUGCAAGUUCAGAUUUGGGAGGGAUAAUAGCUGGAGUCAAUGUAGCGUCCUUGUAAAUAGCAGCUAAUAUCCUAUAAUUUUAGACUAAUGCUUGCCUUAUUGUAAGUGGAAAAAUGAGCAUUAUAAUGUUGGAGUUCCUGAUUUCAAAAUGUAGUCACAUUCCAGUUUUUUGAUCAUGUAGUGUAUAUUUAUAUUUGUAGUAUUACUAUUUAUCUAUUAUCAUUGUAAGUGUUUGUUUACUUUCCUUUCUGCCCAUCUAAUAGUCUUCAUUCCCUUGUAGUAACAAACUAAAAUAUGUUGAACACUCUUUAAUGAAGCACAUAGAAACUCAGAGAUUGACCGGUUAAUCAAGUGACAGCAGUAAUUACAGCCUCUAUUGUUUCCCAUCAUCAAGACCUUACUCCAUGAUACUUAGAUGUCACACUGUACCAUACUUGGGGUUAGACUGAAACCUGAUACUGAUUUGAUUUGAAUUCUGGAAGCUUUGGGAUAAAACAUGCCUUAAAUUGUUAUAAAUAUCGCAAAGAUAUUACAAAAUAUGUUAUUAAAGCUGCAAUAAUUGAUUUUUUUUUUUGGCGAAUGUGGGUAGCAGAACAAACUAUAAACACAAAAUUCAUGUAAUACCACGUCAUUAAGCUGUUGCAGCGGAUCUGCUAGCAAACAGUUGCCAAUUUAUAUGUCCAGCAGACAAGAAACAACAUUAGCAUUCAUUUGGAGCUGACUAAUUUAAGUCAAAUACUCAUUCUCCCUUAAGCUCGGUUUUCGUCUCCACCCACUCCAGAGAAAAAUAUCUGGCUCUUUAACUGCUAAAUCCUCCACUAUGUUCACCAGUUAGCCGCUAACUGCUGUUUGGUGCUGGGCAGGCAACGUGCAGUGGGUUUAUCAGACCUUUUUUGCUGAAACCUGCCUGCUGCUGCUUGUUCCUGUUCUAAAAUAGACUGAGGAUAGUAGAGUUUGCAGGCUGGAAAACCAAAACAAUGAGCUAAAAGAAGCCAAAAAGCUGUGUGGAGCUGCACAGAGCUCCAGGGUUGAGUGAUAAUUUGACAAUGUAAGUGCAUCUUUCACAUUAUGCAUAGUCAUUUUGUCCAUUGUUAAUAUAAAAGUUUUGAGUAGUGCAGCUUUAAAUAACUCAAAAGAGUAAAUAAAAUGUUGUAAAAAAGUUGUUAAAGCUGCAUUAACUGAUCUUUGGCCAUUUGGUGGCAGCAGAACAAGACAUAAACAAAAAACAUAUUACCACCUUAUAAAGCAGUAAAUGGCAAGUGUGCUAGAAAACAGCACAUUCUGUGAGAAUAAUAUGGCUCUUUUAGCUGCUAAAUGCUUGAAUAUGUCCACAGGUAGUGUACAGUGGGUUUAUCAAAACGCUUUUGUUAAAAAAUAGCUGCCUGCUUCUGGAAACAAAGUUGAUAGAAGAAGUAAGAUUCAGCCAAAACAGUAAAGUUGUUGGUCGUAAAACCAAAUAAGUAGCUUUAAAUCAUAAGACACACCGUAGAUCCGAGGAACUGCAGAGUUGGCUGAUAACUCUCUGUGGGGUCAUCACUAGUAGAGACAGCUUUCACAUGACAUUUAGUAAUUUGAGCCAUUGUUAAUGUAAAAAUAUUGAUUAGUGCAGCUUUAAAGUCUUUGCAUGUUUUGAAGAGUCAUAUUGUAGCCGAACGCCUGCCAUAUUAGAAAUAGAUUACUUUAGUUGGCUGAACAAUUUUUAGUCAGUCGACUGCACCUGCAAACUGAUCUCUGUCCAGCCCCAAGUGUGAUUUAAAAACUUGUGUCACAAAGCGUCAUCAGGGAUCUACAGGGUUAUUGACGAUGCUGCCGUACAAUCAGGAGUCUAAGCUCUCCUUUCUUUCUUCCGUUAACUGUGCAUUGAAGCUUCUCCCGGUCAUUACUUCUUAUCGUAUCCUCGUAACAGAUUGCAUUUAGUGAUAAGAGUCUCUGGCUCUGGAGGCUCAACUCCGCAGCAGAUGGACAAGAUGUUAAAGGUUUAAUGGAUGGCAAGAUUUACUCUGUGCAGAAACGGCUAAUGAAAUAAAACUUCAUAUUGCCAGGCCAUCACAGGAAGGAAGGAAAAGAUUUUGUCACGUUGUAAAUGGUAUAUUUUCUGCUCUUUCACCAGAUGGAGCAGUUAUUGGAGUCAUUUUGUCUUUGUCACCUUUAGUUCGUCCAACACUAAAAUGGAUGGCCUUCAUGUUGAUGGGAGGCCAUCAACACUUUGACGAUGACUCAUUUUCCACAACACCGUGGCCCAUAAUCUUGAACUCUGUAAUUUGAUUUCUCAUGGUUUGACUUUUUCUCUUCAAACUGCUUCCAACAAAUUGUUAAUGUAUAUCUCAAAAUACUUGUAUUUUUAAACACUUUUGCUGACAAUACAGUACUGACUCUAGGCUCUCAGUGCCCUCAGAUGAGGACUCAGAGAGAAGAGAAUUAAUGCUUAAUAAAGAUAUUCUGAUAUGUU
This is an RNA transcript of Xiphias gladius (swordfish), 4077 nucleotides long. It is a transcript of the gene named WD repeat and FYVE domain containing 1, with no coding region annotated. The transcript is spliced from 13 exons. NCBI's taxonomy places the organism in Eukaryota, Metazoa, Chordata, Actinopteri, Istiophoriformes, Xiphiidae. The record is from RefSeq and is a predicted model, not a curated record.